UACGGAGGCAGCAGUGGGGAAUAUUGCACAAUGGGGGGAACCCUGAUGCAGCAACGCCGCGUGAGUGAAGAAGGCAUUCGUGUCGUAAAACUCUGUAGUAGGGGAAGAAAGAAAUGACAGUACCCUAAAAGAAAGCCCCGGCUAACUACGUGCCAGCAGCCGCGGUAAU
RNAcentral lists this ribosomal RNA (169 nucleotides) under uncultured bacterium. Its description in RNAcentral is "partial 16S ribosomal RNA". It matches the Rfam family "Bacterial small subunit ribosomal RNA", at positions 340 to 524 of the family's 1533-position model. The record is from RNAcentral.